AGAGUUGAUCCUGGCUCAGGAUGAACGCUAGCUACAGGCUUAACACAUGCAAGUCGAGGGGCAGCAUUGGAGUAGCAAUACUCAGAUGGCGACCGGCGCACGGGUGAGUAACACGUAUCCAACCUGCCGCUUACUCGGGGAUAGCCUUUCGAAAGAAAGAUUAAUACCCGAUGGUAUAAAGAGUUCGCAUGUUCUCUUUAUUAAAGAAUUUCGGUAAGCGAUGGGGAUGCGUUCCAUUAGAUAGUUGGCGGGGUAACGGCCCACCAAGUCUACGAUGGAUAGGGGUUCUGAGAGGAAGGUCCCCCACAUUGGAACUGAGACACGGUCCAAACUCCUACGGGAGGCAGCAGUGAGGAAUAUUGGUCAAUGGACGAGAGUCUGAACCAGCUAAGUAAGCGUGAAGGAUGACUGCCCUAUGGGUUGUAAACUUCUUUUAUAAGGGAAUAAAGUGAGGGACGUGUCCCUUUUUGUAUGUACCUUAUGAAUAAGGAUCGGCUAACUCCGUGCCAGCAGCCGC
This 517-nucleotide ribosomal RNA is filed under the name uncultured bacterium. Its description in RNAcentral is "bacterial SSU rRNA". It matches the Rfam family "Bacterial small subunit ribosomal RNA", at positions 8 to 518 of the family's 1533-position model. The record is from RNAcentral.